AAAAAGACAAACCGUGGGUUUUCGUGCCAACAUUUGACUGUCCGUCUUAUAUGAAAUUUUUUUAUAAUUAGUAUUUUCAUUAUUGUUAGAUGAUAAAACAUGAUUAAUACUUUAUGCAUGACUUAUCUUUUUAAUUUUUUUUUAUUAUUUUUUUAAAUAAGACAGGCGGUCAAACGUUGGACACGGAAACCAAGGUUUGUCUUUUCU
Molecule: non-coding RNA, 207 nt
Organism: Oryza nivara
Lineage: Eukaryota; Viridiplantae; Streptophyta; Magnoliopsida; Poales; Poaceae
Source: Rfam